RNAcentral lists this ribosomal RNA (366 nucleotides) under uncultured organism. RNAcentral's name for it is "bacterial LSU rRNA". It matches the Rfam family "Bacterial large subunit ribosomal RNA", at positions 2099 to 2465 of the family's 2925-position model. The record is from RNAcentral.
CUUUACUGCAACUUGACGUUGGAACUUGGCUGUAUUUGUGUAGGAUAGGUGGGAGACUUUGAAGCAGGGCCGCCAGGUCUUGCGGAGUCGUCGUUGAAAUACCACCCUGGUGCUGACGAGUUUCUAACCGUGUCCGUAAGCCGGACAUGAGACAGCGUCUGGUGGGCAGUUUGACUGGGGCGGUCGCCUCCUAAAAGGUAACGGAGGCAUUCAAAGGUCCCCUCAGCGUGGUCGGUAAUCACGCGCAGAGUGCAAACGCAUAAGGGGGCUUAACUGCGAGACCGACAGGUCGAGCAGGUACGAAAGUAGGAGUUAGUGAUCCCGCGGUUUAGCGUGGAAUUGCCGCUGCUCAAUGGAUAAAAGGUA